RNAcentral lists this ribosomal RNA (778 nucleotides) under uncultured Neocallimastigales. Its description in RNAcentral is "partial large subunit ribosomal RNA". It matches the Rfam family "Eukaryotic large subunit ribosomal RNA", at positions 22 to 640 of the family's 3401-position model. Lineage: Eukaryota; Fungi; Neocallimastigomycota; Neocallimastigomycetes; Neocallimastigales. The record is from RNAcentral.
GUACACGCUGUGACUAGCAUAUCAAUAAGCGGAGGAAAAGAAACUAACAAGGAUUCCCCUAGUAACGGCGAGUGAAGCGGGAAGAGCUCAAAUUUGAAAUCUUAAAGGGUUUCCCUUUACGAAUUGUAGUUUAAAGAAGUGAUUUUCUGUUGAGUGUAUUGGCUAAAAGUUCUUUGGAAUAGGACAUCAUAGAGGGUGAGAAUCCCGUAUUUGAUCAUUCCUUUCUAACUUUGUGAUACACUUUCAAAGAGUCGGAUUGUUUGGGAAUGCAGUCCAAAAUGGGUGGUAAACUUCAUCUAAAGCUAAAUAUUGGCGAGAGACCGAUAGCGAACAAGUACCGUGAGGGAAAGAUGAAAAGAACUUUGAAAAGAGAGUUAAACAGUACGUGAAAUUGUCAAAAGGGAAGCGUUUGACACCAGUGUUGUUUUUCUGAAAAUCAAUUAAAGAACUGUUUAUGCUAAGCUGUUUAGACUUUAUCAGCUAACUGUUUAGUUUUGAGCUUUUCUUUAAUGCACUUUUCAGUUAACAAGUCAACAUCAAUUUCUUUUGCUGUAAAAAAGCUUGAGGAAGGUGGCUUGAGAUUCGUCUUAAGUGUUUAUAGCCUCUUGCCUAUGCAGUCGGAGAGAUUGAGGUCUGCAGCGUAGAUCCUUCGGGGCUAAAUGCAUUUGUGCUAAGUUAUAGCAUUUUAUAGACAACUUGUUGACUAUGAUUUGUCUUGUAGCUUACUCGCUUAUGUUAUUUUACCUACGCUUAGGAUGUUGAUAUGCAUGACUGAUAU